This 306-nucleotide unclassified non-coding RNA is filed under the name plant metagenome. RNAcentral describes it as "partial contains 5.8S ribosomal RNA, internal transcribed spacer 2, and large subunit ribosomal RNA". The stretch from base 1 to 105 matches the Rfam family "5.8S ribosomal RNA", at positions 50 to 154 of the family's 154-position model. The record is from RNAcentral.
GAAAUGCGAUAAGUAAUGUGAAUUGCAGAAUUCAGUGAAUCAUCGAAUCUUUGAACGCACAUUGCUCCCGCCAGUAUUCUGGCGGGCAUGCCUGUCCGAGCGUCAUUUCAACCAUCAAGCCCCCGGGCUUGUGUUGGGGACCUGCGGCUGCCCGCAGGCCCUGAAAACCAGUGGCGGGCUCGCUGUCACACCGAGCGUAGUAGCAAUCACCUCGCUAAGGGCGUGCUGCGGGUUCCGGCCGUUAAACAGCCUUACAAAACCCAAGGUUGACCUCGGAUCAGGUAGGAAGACCCGCUGAACUUAAGC